Molecule: transfer RNA, 74 nt
Filed under: Dactylosporangium sucinum
Lineage: Bacteria; Bacillati; Actinomycetota; Actinomycetes; Micromonosporales; Micromonosporaceae
Description: tRNA-Cys
Rfam family: tRNA
About the family: Transfer RNA (tRNA) molecules are approximately 80 nucleotides in length.
Source: RNAcentral
GGCCGGGUGCCCGAGUCAGGUCAGGGGCUCGCCUGCACAGCGAGACACACCGGUUCGAAUCCGGUUUCGGCCUC